CCUGUGUGUGUGUGUGUGUGUGUGUGUGUGUGUGUGUGUGUGUGUGGCCUCACAAGUGGACAUAAAGCUGACGCCACACACGUCCGC
This 87-nucleotide microRNA precursor is filed under the name Tetraodon nigroviridis (spotted green pufferfish). RNAcentral describes it as "miRNA (ENSTNIG00000020272.1)". The record is from RNAcentral. Lineage: Eukaryota; Metazoa; Chordata; Actinopteri; Tetraodontiformes; Tetraodontidae.